UACGUAGGUGGCAAGCGUUGUCCGGAUUUAUUGGGCGUAAAGCGAGCGCAGGCGGUUUUUUAAGUCUGAUGUGAAAGCCUUCGGCUUAACCGGAGAAGUGCAUCGGAAACUGGGAGACUUGAGUGCAGAAGAGGACAGUGGAACUCCAUGUGUAGCGGUGGAAUGCGUAGAUAUAUGGAAGAACACCAGUGGCGAAGGCGGCUGUCUAGUCUGUAACUGACGCUGAGGCUCGAAAGCAUGGGUAGCGAACA
This 251-nucleotide ribosomal RNA is filed under the name uncultured Bacillus sp. RNAcentral describes it as "partial 16S ribosomal RNA". It matches the Rfam family "Bacterial small subunit ribosomal RNA", at positions 524 to 774 of the family's 1533-position model. RNAcentral also lists the same sequence under 1 other name. The record is from RNAcentral. Lineage: Bacteria; Bacillati; Bacillota; Bacilli; Caryophanales; Bacillaceae.